CCAUCAUUAAGUUGGGCACUCUAAGUUGACUGCCGGUGACAAACCGGAGGAAGGUGGGGAUGACGUCAAAUCAUCAUGCCCCUUAUGAUUUGGGCUACACACGUGCUACAAUGGACAAUACAAAGGGCAGCGAAACCGCGAGGUCAAGCAAAUCCCAUAAAGUUGUUCUCAGUUCGGAUUGUAGUCUGCAACUCGACUACAUGAAGCUGGAAUCGCUAGUAAUCGUAGAUCAGCAUGCUACGGUGAAUACGUUCCCGGGUCUUGUACACACCGCCCGUCACACCACGAGAGUUUGUAACACCCGAAGCCGGUGGAGUAACCUUUUAGGAGCUAGCCGUCGAAGGUGGGACAAAUGAUUGGGGUGAAGUCGUAACAAGGUAGCCGUAUCGGAAGGUGCGGCUGGAUCACCUCCUUU
This 415-nucleotide ribosomal RNA is filed under the name Staphylococcus aureus. RNAcentral's name for it is "bacterial SSU rRNA". It matches the Rfam family "Bacterial small subunit ribosomal RNA", at positions 1118 to 1533 of the family's 1533-position model. Lineage: Bacteria; Bacillati; Bacillota; Bacilli; Caryophanales; Staphylococcaceae. The record is from RNAcentral.